CAGCUCCGCCUUUUUUUAUAGGUAGCGUUUUGGCGGUGGAAACUACAACUCCCGGAAGGCUCCGGCGCCAGUUUGUGGGGCAGUGUGGGAAUUGUAGGCUCAGGAGCUCACGAUUGCUAGAACCUGCGCAGGCGUUCCUGGACCAGUCACUUGUUCGCUUGGAAUCAGCACGUCUCAGCCAGUGUCCGAUUAUGAGAACCAUCUGUGGGACUGAGUAAAAGUGCAGAGUAACAGAUGCAAAAAUGGAGACAGAGUUUGUUGCUCUGGUCACAUAGCUAGAGGCUGAAGAGGAGGCUUUGAACUCAGGUUUUCUGAGUACAAAUCUUGCAGCUUUUAACCCAAGCUAUGCUACCUCCUGAGAUCUAGAGGGCAUCACACACUAGCAUAUCUAAUGACAAAAUGGAUCCAAAUAUACACUGAAAACCAGGGCUUUAAUAAGCAGGAGUCCAUAGCACCGAUCAGUACGAUCACCGUCUUUCCUACUGGACAUGCAUCUCAGGGGCCAGACAGGAUAGAAUGGGCCGCCUCAUCCAAGGAGCCUGCAGAAGGUGGCUGGGUGGGAGCUGAAAAAGGAAGGAGACUUGUCUGAAACAAGGCCAACCUCACCGUGUUUCUCAGCAGGGCUCUGAGUGCCGGGGGGCCUUCCUGGGGACAGGGCUGUGGGGCCUGUUCCGUUGUCUUCAGGCUUCUCUGGUCCAUGCAGGAUUGGCAGGCAGGUGGCACUGAACAGAGGGACCCAGCUGAAUCAGCCCUCAGGAAUAGAACUGCUUGUAGGAAAACCAAAGAAAUAUCUGGACAUCUUUUUGUGCUUCUAGACCUGCUCAGAAUGCAUGCUGCUAACAGAGCCUCUGCCCUCAACUGUUGGAAAGUGGGUCAUGCAACUGAUACCAGGCAGGAAUAUGCUCACUCCUCCACCCUUAUCGAUACGUCACAACAGUAAUUCUUAUGACAAUAGCAACAACGAAAGCAGCUCACACAGAUUGUUUACUGUAUGCCAGGCGGUCUUCUGAGCACUUGACGUACAUUAAUGCAGGCAGUCCUUUUUUUAAUCUUGAUUUUCCUUAUGAAUUUGCUCCAUGUUCUUGAGGAAGUUACCCACCUUCCCUAAACAAAGAGAUAUUUACAUGUAAUUCAUAGGUUUUUUUUUUAGAGAGAAUGACAUAUAAGGACGUUAUGUGAAGUGUGAGGUAUAUGGUAGGUGCUCCGUGAUGGUGACCAGUAUGAUUUUUAUUAAUCAUAUGAAUGGUCCUGUUUAUCUUCAUCUUUAUACCUAUUUCCAAAGGUUGCACCUUCCUAGGACCUGUCCUGAAAUUGGGAAUGUAGAGUUACACCUUCUUUUUCUGGACAAAACUCCUACUUAACCCUCAAGAGCCAUUUCAAAAGUUCCCUACACUGUGAAACCUUCGCCAGUCUCUACAGUGUGAAACAGAUUGCGCUCUUUGCCAUCGCGUCAUAUGAUAAUCAUGUCUGCUUAUGGUCUAUCUUGGACCGCUGGGAAGAUUCUGGAGGUACAGUUAAUAUCUGCUGUGCUCCCCUAGCUUAGCAGCUCUCCGGGUGUGGCCUGCAGACUCCUGGGAGUCUGCAAAACUCUUUCCCGGGGUUCUUGAGGUCAGAACUGUGUUCACAAGUCUUUACCUUGUUCAUUCUAUUGACAUUUGUAGCAGUGGUGGGUAAAGCUGCUGGUAUUGGUUUCAGUUGAGGCUAUGACAUCAAAAUGUACAAGGAAUUGUUAUACCCAUCACUGUCAUACGGUUGUGCUAAAACACAUGCCAAUUUCACUUAAGAAUGUCCUUAAUGAGGCAGUGAAGUGAUUCACUUUAUGAUAUCCCGACCCUUGCCUUUUCAAUAAUCUGUAUAAAUUAAAGUGGGAAGUACAUCUAAGCACUUUGGCCACAUAGGAAAGCACAGUGGUUGUAGGUAAGGUCGAGGAAAAGCAUGUGUGUGAUUGAAUUGUGAGCUGAAUUAGCCAUGGCUUUUUCAUGACACGUGCUCUUUACUUGAAAGGACAGCUGACACACAGGGUGGUCUUUCAUAUUUGGGCAUUGGCAGAUGUCCUCUCAAAAAUGAAUUAUUGAGCCUGUCACUUUAAGGAAAGCAGUAUUUGUUACCAAUAGAAAGUUCAAGCUAGGUGAAAAUCAGAAGUUUGGAAAACUUUUUCUGCCAUUCUGCAUUCAACAUCUUCUCAUUACAUGUCCUACAAGAGAAUUCCAGUGAUACUAGUGAAUUAGAAUUUUUGAUGCUGUAUAGUGACAUGUGUAAAUGUUUGGAAAUUCUGCAUGAGUCUGUGAAGCUGUUGUUUUCUUAUGAACAUUCCAAAUGUUACAAGGUUUCACAUGGGUGAAAGACAGUUCCAAGUGCAAGAUGGGCGCCUGGGCGGUGCCGUCAGUUGAGCAUCCAGCUCUUGGUUUCGGCUCAGGUGCUGAACUCGGGGUCACAAGAUCUGGCCCUGCGUCAGGCUCCACGCUCAGCACGGAGUCUGCUUUAGACUCUCUCUCCCUCUCCAUUGGUCCCCCUACCCCCAACGCAUGUGCCCCCCCAUGCCUCCGCUGAAAUGAAUAAAUAAAUCUUAAAAAAAAAAAGUGCAAGACUGAUGGAUUUUAUGGUGGCAGAGAAGAAAAGUUCAGCAACACGGUUUCAGACUUUACAUCACAUCAAACCUUAACCCAGACUUGUCAAGUGUGUCUGUAGUACCAAAGAAUAUCCAGUGUUAUCUGAAAAGGCUAUUCAGAUACUGCUCCCUUUUCUAGCUAUGUCUGUGCAUUUUAACUGGAACCAGAGCAAGCUAUCAAACCAGCCUGAGUGUAGAAGCCGAUCUGAGAAUCCAGCCGUCUUCCAUUGGGCUGGAUGAUGUUGAAGAUAUUUGAAGAUACGUCCAACAAUGUCGCUCCUCUCACUGAACUUUUUCAUUCCGUAAACUGGAGUUUUUGUACAAUCAAAAAUAUUUUUAUUUCAUAAAAUAUGUGACGUGUUAACAUGUGAUGGGUUUGUUGUUAUUUUUAAAUAAAUAAA
Long non-coding RNA from Mustela lutreola (European mink), 3009 nucleotides. RefSeq lists it as uncharacterized. The record is from RefSeq and is a predicted model, not a curated record. The transcript has 4 exons. Lineage: Eukaryota; Metazoa; Chordata; Mammalia; Carnivora; Mustelidae.